This is a long non-coding RNA of Acinonyx jubatus (cheetah), 1393 nucleotides long. RefSeq lists it as uncharacterized. The record is from RefSeq and is a predicted model, not a curated record. The transcript is spliced from 3 exons. Lineage: Eukaryota; Metazoa; Chordata; Mammalia; Carnivora; Felidae.
GUGACCUGGAAAUCAGCCCAGGUACGUGGGUCAGGGAGAAAGAGGAAGGCAAGGGUGGGAGAAUACAGGUGCUGGAAAGCAGCACUUUAACUUGGGGACAUGCUCGGAGCAAGUGUGCGGCACACUGGCCUGGGCAAUGACCAGCAUCCAUCCUUUUUGUGGGUCUCUCCAAAUAGACCAGCUCAUUGGCGACAGGAAACUGUGUUGCCCUCCUUUGCAUCCUCUGCAUUAUCCAACGUUAAAGGGAUGCAUUAGUAAGAAAAAGCUGAGAGGCAUUGACAUUUUAUUCCCCCAUCCUUGGGUAGAAGCAGCCAGCACAGGUUUCCAAUGAUCUGGAAGGGAGAUUGUGUAAAGAAGGUUCCAGAAGGGGAGGAGAGUGAGGAAAGAGCUAGUGAAUGGGGCAGACCCAGGCAGCCCAGCUUGAGGGACGACUGGGGAGCUUCCCACAAGAUGAGGGAGGGCCCGGCUUGUUGCUAGAUCUCGUGAGAACCUGUUCUCUUGCAGCAUCAGAGGCAGCCCAGGGAGACUGGAUGCUUUGCACUGGGCACAGUAUUUCAGCUAAGACACACCCGCCUCACUGUCCAGGGCGGGCAGAGAAGCCUCCAAGGAACCACAAGGACCAAGGUAAGGUCAACUUUUCACUCUGCCAUGGGGCAGCUCCAGCAGACAGGCUUUGCCCUCCCCGGAACAGUCCGAGUUUCCUGCUGCAUGAAUCACUAAGUGUCCACCCAGAGAAUCUACACAGUUUUAAUAGCAGGUCAAAGAGAACAGAGUAAGAGAAUAAACCUCCUGCCAAAACCUCACACCCAGAUAGAAAUGACUGGAAUUCGCUAUCCCGAGUCUGGAUCUGCCACGUCCCUGCUCUUCCUCCGCUGAGACUGUGUUAGGAAGGAGCACGCCCGCGGGCUGCCAGCUGAUUGCCCCACUCUGCAGCCCCCUGGGAGCAGUGCAGGAACCGGGGAGCACUCGGAGCGGCGAACCAGCUCUUUGAAAUCUGGGGGGCUCCAUCAGGGAGUAGCUUGCUGCUCUGUGAACGCGUCUUCUAAUUGAGCUCAAAUUGUCUCCACUCUCUCCUGUGACUCCUCACUGCUUUGUGACCCCAUCACAUGGAUUCCUGAGCACAGACCCUCCCUAUGGGUUCUAGCCUCCCACUUUCACCCAGGGCUUUCAGAGGCCUUUUUGGACCAGCAGUUUUGGACCAACCCUUAGGAACAAGUUCUGGAAAGCGAAAGAAAGUGGGUUCUGAGCUGCACACAGGUACCUGGAUAAAGUUGCUUUCAAAUACCACCGAGUCGGAGAACAAGUUGAAUUCUGGAGAAUGAAUCAGUUGACAAAGAAGGCCGUCUUCCACCCCCAGAUCCACUCCAGGGCCUGGUUCCCUGACCUCAGGUGG